CCGUCGUUUUCGCACCGUGGGAGUGAGGAGAAGGAGAAGGAAGCGGCGAAGGUCGAGAAGAGGGGGAGGCGACCGAAGGAAAGCAGAGGGACGAAAGACGAGGAGAGGAAGAAAAAGAAGGAUAAAAAGAAAAGGAAAAGGGGCAGCCGCCGCAUAGAGGAAGAAGCGAAGAGAAUUAAAAAGAGGAGAGGAAGGAGAAGAAAAGGAGAAGAAGGAGAAGAAAAAGAAGAAGAAGAAGAGGAAGAGCGGCGAUAACAAGGCGGCAGAGGGGGCAGCGCGGGGGGGGCGGGGGGGGCGGGGAGAGGGGGGGGGGGGGGGGGGCGGGGGGGGGGUGGUGUGAAGGGGGGGGGGGGGGGGGGGGGGGGGGGGGGGAGAGAAAGAGCGGCGAUAACAAGGCGGCAGAGGUGGCAGCGCGGCGGAGGCUGGGAGGCGGCCGAGAGGGGAGAAGAGGAGGAAGAGAGGAAAGAAAUUAGAGAGAUGGAGGAGAUUUUAGAGAGAGGUAGAGAU
Molecule: long non-coding RNA, 507 nt
Filed under: Linum usitatissimum (flax)
Lineage: Eukaryota; Viridiplantae; Streptophyta; Magnoliopsida; Malpighiales; Linaceae
Description: long non-coding RNA (LUSI_LNC006725)
Source: RNAcentral